GUGGGGAAUAUUGGACAAUGGGCGAAAGCCUGAUCCAGCCAUGCCGCGUGUGUGAAGAAGGUCUUCGGAUUGUAAAGCACUUUAAGUUGGGAGGAAGGGCAGUAAGUUAAUACCUUGCUGUUUUGACGUUACCGACAGAAUAAGCACCGGCUAACUUCGUGCCAGCAGCCGCGGUAAUACGAAGGGUGCAAGCGUUAAUCGGAAUUACUGGGCGUAAAGCGCGCGUAGGUGGUUUUGUAAGUUGGAGGUGAAAUCCCCGGGCUCAACCUGGGAACUGCCUCCAAAACUGCAUGACUAGAGUACGGUAGAGGGUAGUGGAAGUUCCUGUGUAGCGGUGAAAUGCGUAGAUAUAGGAAGGAACACCAGUGGCGAAGGCGACUACCUGGACUGAUACUGACACUGAGGUGCGAAAGCGUGGGGAGCAAACAGGAUUAGAUACCCCUGUAGUCC
Molecule: ribosomal RNA, 450 nt
Filed under: uncultured bacterium
Lineage: Bacteria
Description: partial 16S ribosomal RNA
Rfam family: Bacterial small subunit ribosomal RNA
Source: RNAcentral